UAAGGACCUCACUCCUGUGACAAUUGC
This 27-nucleotide non-coding RNA is filed under the name Rattus norvegicus (Norway rat). Lineage: Eukaryota; Metazoa; Chordata; Mammalia; Rodentia; Muridae. The record is from RNAcentral.